RNAcentral lists this ribosomal RNA (253 nucleotides) under uncultured bacterium. RNAcentral describes it as "partial 16S ribosomal RNA". It matches the Rfam family "Bacterial small subunit ribosomal RNA", at positions 524 to 776 of the family's 1533-position model. The record is from RNAcentral.
UACGUAGGGCGCAAGCGUUGUCCGGAAUUAUUGGGCGUAAAGAGCUCGUAGGCGGCUUGUCACGUCGGAUGUGAAAGCCCGGGGCUUAACCCCGGGUCUGCAUUCGAUACGGGCAGGCUAGAGUGUGGUAGGGGAGAUCGGAAUUCCUGGUGUAGCGGUGAAAUGCGCAGAUAUCACGAGGAACACCGGUGGCGAAGGCGGGUCUCUGGGAAGUAACUGACGCUGAGAAGCGAAAGCGUGGGUAGCAAACAGG